RNAcentral lists this ribosomal RNA (492 nucleotides) under uncultured bacterium. RNAcentral describes it as "partial 16S ribosomal RNA". It matches the Rfam family "Bacterial small subunit ribosomal RNA", at positions 29 to 507 of the family's 1533-position model. The record is from RNAcentral.
AGCGAACGCUGGCGGUAGGCCUAACACAUGCAAGUCGAACGGAAGCAUACUAAGAGUUUGCCUUUACGGAUGGCGAGUCGAGCACGGGAGUGGAACACAACGGACCUUACUUUUACACGGGGGAUAACGUAGGGAACCUUGCGUUAAUACCGCAUACGACAUACGUGUGAAAGCAGAGGAUCUUCGGAUCUUGCGCGUAUGACUGAGACUUUGUCGUAUUAGCUAGUUGGUGGGGUAAAGGCCCACCAAGGCGACGAUCCGUAGCUGAUCUGAGAGGAUGAUCGGCCACACUGGAACUGAGACACGGUCCAGACUCCUACGGGAGGCAGCAGUAGGGAAUAUUCGACAAUGGGCGCAAGCCUGAUCCAGCCAUACCGCGUGGGUGAAGAAGGCCUUCGGGUUGUAAAGCCCUUUUGUUGGGGAAGAAAAGCAAUAUAUUAAUUACCCGCUGAUCUGACGGUACCCAAAGAGUAAGCAACGGCUAACUUCGUG